Molecule: ribosomal RNA, 492 nt
Filed under: uncultured bacterium
Lineage: Bacteria
Description: partial 16S ribosomal RNA
Rfam family: Bacterial small subunit ribosomal RNA
Source: RNAcentral
AGUGAACGCUGGCGGUAGGCCUAACACAUGCAAGUCGAACGGCAGCACAGUAAUAGCUUGCUCUUACUGGUGGCGAGUGGCGGACGGGUGAGGAAUACAUCUGAAUCUACUUUUUCGUGGGGGAUAACGUAGGGAAACUUACGCUAAUACCGCAUACGACCUACGGGUGAAAGCAGGGGAUCUUCGGACCUUGCGCGAUUGAAUGAGCCGAUGUCGCAUUAGCUAGUUGGCGGGGUAAAGGCCCACCAAGGCGACGAUACGUAGCUGGUCUGAGAGGAUGAUCAGCCCCCCUGGACCUGAGCCAAGGUACAGACUACUCCGGGACGCAGCAGUGGGGAAUAUUGGACAAUGGGAGGAAGCAUGAUCCAGACCUACCGCGUCGGUGAAGAAGGCAUUCGGGUUGUAAAGGCCUUCUGUUGGGAAAGAAAAGCAGCAGGUUAAUACCCCGCUGUUCUGACGGUACCCAAAGAAUAAGCACCGGCUAACUUCGUG